This 315-nucleotide ribosomal RNA is filed under the name uncultured eukaryote. RNAcentral describes it as "partial 18S ribosomal RNA". It matches the Rfam family "Eukaryotic small subunit ribosomal RNA", at positions 1470 to 1796 of the family's 1831-position model. The record is from RNAcentral.
CCCUUAGACGUUCUGGGCCGCACGCGCGCUACACUGACCAGUGCAACAAGCAUCCGUCCUUGGCCGACAGGCCCGGGCAAUCUUUGAAAGCUGGUCGUGAUGGGGAUAGACUUUUGCAAUUUUUGGUCUUCAACGAGGAAUUCCUAGUAAACGCAAGUCAUCAACUUGCAUUGAUUACGUCCCUGCCCUUUGUACACACCGCCCGUCGCACCUACCGAUUGAAUGGUCCGGUGAAGCCUCCGGAUUGGCGCGCACCUCGGUGCCGCCGAGAAGUUGGCUAAACCUUACCAUUUAGAGGAAGGUGAAGUCGUAACA